RNAcentral lists this long non-coding RNA (212 nucleotides) under Nicotiana benthamiana. RNAcentral describes it as "long non-coding RNA (NBEN_LNC028426)". The record is from RNAcentral. Lineage: Eukaryota; Viridiplantae; Streptophyta; Magnoliopsida; Solanales; Solanaceae.
AAAGUAAGCACAAGGAAACAGAUAAAGAGGACGAAUUGAAGCAAAUGCAACAUGAAAUUGAUGACAAAAACAACAAACCCCAAGACAGUACCAGAACCCAAUCCGACCAAGGGAACACUGUUUUCUCAGACCUAAGAAUCCAAAAACAAGUAGAAGAAGGAAACAUUAAAGGUCUUCCCCAUCAACAAGUUCCACAACCAAGUGAUUUCAAC